RNAcentral lists this long non-coding RNA (2309 nucleotides) under Apis mellifera (honey bee). Its description in RNAcentral is "uncharacterized LOC102655674". The record is from RNAcentral. Lineage: Eukaryota; Metazoa; Arthropoda; Insecta; Hymenoptera; Apidae.
GGUAAUCAUUCAUUUCCUCGCAACGGUUCUACGCCCAGAUCCUACGUGAUAACUUGGCUUUGAGAAAAUUACCAGGCCAGCCGCUUUAGGAAAUAUCGUAGUGACAAGCUCUCGAAUAGGUUGGAAAAAAAAUACUCUGAUCUUUUUUCAUUUGGAACACCUGGUACUGAAUAAUUUUGAAUAUAUAACUUUUGAAAUAAUUGUGAAAUAGUAAUAUGAAUUUAUAUUUUAAGAAAUCGAAAAUUUGCAAAUAUUCAAUAUUGUCAAGGGAAAAUAAAAUUGAAUACGUCUUAUCAAUAUCCAAUGAUGAAAAGUCACGUGCGAAUAAAUUUGCCAGGUCGUUUGGAGAAGAAAAAUAAUUGAAAGAUUUCUUUCUCAAAUAAUUAUUCCUAUUUUUGACCUAUUCUCGCGAUACAAGUGAAAAGAGUAUAAAGUGUGUAAAGUAAAGUGUAGAGAAAGAAGGAGAAAGAGAGAGAAAACGUCUUUUAUUUGAACAGGUCAACCAUACUGUCUAUUAAUAAAAAGAAUCGGGUAAGAUUCUAAAGGUUCGUUGCUUCCAGCUCGCUUAAACUCUUCUAUAAACGUAUCAUUGCUCUUCUACCAUAACGAGCAACACGAUCCUCACUAAAAAGAGGUUACUUUUGUGUAAUUAAUUACAGAGUUUGAUUCACGACGCGACAAAGUACAUUGAAAGUAUAAUAAAUGAAAUUCUAAACGACACCUUGCCACUUUUUCUCACCAUCAUUAAUUACAUUAACAAUGACAAUGAUCUUUAAGGAAAAUUUCUCUCUAAUUGUAUAAUGAUCGUUAUGAUACAAUCAUAACUCAAAUAUAGAAAAAAAACUCUAUGAACAGUAUAAAACUCGAUGGAAUCUUAUUAAAAAUUAGGAAAACUUUAAAUCGCUAUAACUCCUAAGAUAAUGAUUUUCGAUCAAUGAACGAAAGAUUAUUAAAAGCGCAGAAUCUGCUUCUUUGAAAUGCUUUUUCGUUUGUCUCGAUACGACUUCCGGUUCUCGAGAUAUCGUCGCGCAAAGAGAAAGGUAAUUUUUAAUCGUUUACCUUAAACUCGAUUUCAAUCCCGAUUGAAAUUAGAAAAACUUUGAAUCGCUAUAACUCCGAGGAUAAUGACUCGCGGUCAACGAAUGAACGAUCAUCAGAAGCGUGGAACCUUCACCUUUAAAACGCUCUUUGAUUCGUCCCGAUACGACUUCCGGUUCCCGAGAUAUCGUCGUGUAAAGAGAAAGGUAAUUUUUAAUCGUUUACUAUCUCCGUCCUCGUCGGAUAAUCGGAUCUCUCGCUCGCGCUCACCUGACUGACCUAUCCCAAACUCUAGACAGUCGACAGAUGCGAUUCCUAGAAGAGUUCGUAGUACGCAUUUCCAGGAAAAAAUGUAGGUCACUGGGUCGCAGUCCCAUUCAUAACUUCUGCACUAUUUUUAAGCGCUAUGGAAAUUUUGAAUCCUUAUAUCUCGGCAACCGAUCGAGGUAUCGAGAAAAAUCAAAAAGUGACUUCAAUGGCACGACUUCCUCUAUUUCUCGAAUAGGUUUUCAUGAUGAAAUUUUCAAAGUUUCACUGCGUAUUUUUUAAAAACAAUUGGUCUAUUGAUGUAAAAUAUACUCGAAUAUAUUUCAACCGUGUAAAAAUCUGCAAUACAUAGUUGUAAAGAAUAAAAAAAUUAACGUGAAAGUAUUUACUCGUCAAAUACUAUGAAACAUUUGUUAUUUCGUAAAUGACAUAGUUAAAAAAAAAAGUGAAAAUUCUACAAUUUUCUAAUUUAUAGAACCUGCUCAUAGACACAAGUCUAAACGUGUUGUCCUUCAACGCAUGCACGAUCCGCAUCAGAUAGCCCAGAUGAUAACCUUUAAGAGGGUGAUUUACGGGGGCUACACCCCAGGAGGGUUAAGGUACACGGUAAUUACUGUUGCAAAUUCCUUUAAAUUAUAACUGCGUGCCGGGUAAACGGCGAUUAUAAACCGCGUGGCCGAGAAUUAUCAGAAUAUAAUCGGAUUACGUUUCUCGUAGUCCCGUGCGGGGUGUAAUUUAGAACAGCGCUCUCUCGCAAUCAGCGCCGCGAUUAGGCGACCAGGCUAUACGAGGGCGGCUCAUUUAAAUGAGCGUGCCGUUUCGUAGCCGCUCGAAAAUUCCAUUAGCGACACGCUUGGCAGCGUCGAGGUCGUGUUUGUAUAUAGCGUACACUUUCACCCCCUUCGACCUCCCCCCUCGUUUUUUUCACACAAGUUCUACGUUCCUUUUCCAAGUUUGUCCCUCGUUUAUUAAAUAUCGGCUUGUACUUUUAAAAAAAAGGGAAA